AAAAAAUGGUGGGAAAUUUGGCCUUCUCCCCACGGAAACACAUGAUGCCAAAUUAAUAAAACAAAGGCUGAAAACUCUCUCCGCCCACUUUCCCCAAAUUACACUCACGAAUGGACAAAAUUUCCUCACUGCCCAACUCACAGAAAUCUCCAUAUCCACCCAUUUCGAGUCUCGGAAGGGAGAAAGCAAGCUCCGGUCGGCAUGUGCUUGAAGAUCUCCGGCCGCAAGGAGCCCUAGCGCACUCGCACAUGCAAAUGAAUUUCACAAAUCUUGUGAAAACUCUCAUUUCCACCUAAUCUUAGUCUCGUCUGGUAAGCGUAUAAAUGCAUAAUGUUGAUUUAGAUUCCAUAUUUACAGAUCAGAUGUCUGUUGAUAAAAAAUCUGGAAAAAAAAAUCGUAUCUGUUUUAGUUAUAUUUAUCGUUCUCUCCAUAUACCUGUGAUUUUUUCUUUUUUUUUCCCUUGGAUUGAAGAUUUUACCAGUGCUCUGUUAUUUUUAUAUUUGAAAUGUUAAACGUAGAAGACCACAUUUGAAUUGGUAGCAAUCAAAUUUCUCUACACACGAGUUUGGAUUUUUGCUUCACUAUUGUGGAUCUAUGUAAUAGCUGCUGGGCGCAAUUAGAAGUUUCAUUAUCAUGUUUAGUUUUUCCAUUAUCUCCUGCCUCUCAAUUUUUAUUUUUUAUUUUUUGCCAUGUUGAGAUAAAUCGAAUUACAGGAGUUUGGUCUUUAUUGAAGUAAGAUUUGCUAGCAUUGAUAUUGGAUCUUUGGUGAAACAUAGUAUUUGGUUGAAUCUUUUUCUGGGGCCAAAACGUGUCUCCUAACUUAUUAAAUCCGGUGUGUCAUCUAGAUUGGUCCCCUCAAUGCCAUCAGGCAUUUCCUACAUAAAGACCAUGUGGACGUUUGUAACCAUUUUCGCACCAAUGUUUCAGUAUAAUCAGUGGAUAAUUAAUCUGAGUUUCACAUGUGCAUCAUAUAAAUUGGUGUUUGAUGAUGUUGGCUUAAGUUUGGAACCUGCCUCUCUAUUACAAUUUGCUGGUGUACCACUAGGAUCAUGAGAAACUGUGGUUGGAAUACUUAUAAAUUUCUUAUUGAUGCAUAAUAUUGUUUGCCAACAAAUUCCUUUGUGUUAUUUUCCUUCGAACAACAGUGUUUUCUAUUUGAGUUGAUGCUCUGUGAUAUGUUCGCAUCGCAAAAUGGGCUAUAAGAAUUGUGGAAUCUGUCACAGUUGUAGAGUUGAGGGGCAUUUCUUAGCUGACUGUCCAUGGAAACGCCAACGCCCAAAUUGGGAGCACAGAUUUGAGCAAAGUUUCAUGGUGGAGGAGACUAAAAAUAUAGGGCGAUUAUUUUUUUGCUACAGUAAGAAAUGUGGAUUUUGGAAAUGGGUUUUCAAAGAAAAUUAAAGCAGCCAAUUGUCUAGAGCUAGCGCUUCUUUGGUUAACUUUGCAACUAACGAAACAUCUGAACAAAUAUCACACAUGUUUCAAUCUCAAGUUUGCAUCUCUGUGAAAGAAGAUCUACAUAUUAUGGUGAACGUAAAGGUGUGCAAGAAAUUGCCAAAAUGAAUUGAGAAGGAAAGGGGUCGACCUGAUUGGUAGCUAUUAAUUGAAGUAAUAGUUAUUACAUAAUCUUUUGUACGAGGUCGGACUACUUUGAGCGAAGGAAUGUAAACUAUGUUUGUAAAUUACGUUAAUUUAUGAAAUGUUAUAUUUCAACUCUUUUUUUUAACAUCAAUUGUUACUUGUAAAUUACCUUUUAGAUUAUCCAUUUGUAGUUGGCUUCGUAGAUUCACGGCCAUCUUGUUUAUUGAACCUUCAACUAAAAAGUCUCAAAUAAAAAAAUCCAUCGUAUUUGCCUUUUUUGUAGUUCUUAGCAAGAACAGUUGGGUGUUUUUAGUCCUCCUGGGAUUCAUCACGUAUUACCAUAACAUCCCUUUGGGAAAAGAGGAAAGAAUAACCGUUACAAUUUAAAGACUUCAACUAUAUGGAACAUUUUUCUUGUAUGUGCAUGUAUAAUACUAGGCACUAUUGUAAUUUUCUUGUUAUAAAACAGAGAUAAUUCGACGGAAGAUAAGGCAAAUUCCGAAUGUGGAGAACCCAACACCAACCUCAUCACCAGCUUCAUGGCUAUGUACAACUAAGAGAGAACUUGAAAGCCAGCCUCAUCAAUCACUAGAUUAAGGUACAAACUUCAUGGCUCAGUAUGAUGACCACGGACAUUUGCCCGAUUUUUACACUUUGCAAGCUCCUUUUUACUUUAUAUCACAAAGC
This 2265-nucleotide long non-coding RNA is filed under the name Olea europaea subsp. europaea. The record is from RNAcentral. Lineage: Eukaryota; Viridiplantae; Streptophyta; Magnoliopsida; Lamiales; Oleaceae.